CACAUGCAAGUCGAACGCGAAAGCCUGGGCAACUGGGCGAGUAGAGUGGCGCACGGGUGAGUAACACGUGGGUAACCUACCCUCGAGUGGGGAAUAACUCCUCGAAAGGGGAGCUAAUACCGCAUAAGACCACGAUCUCUUCGGAGGUUGCGAUCAAAGGUGGCCUCAUCAAGCAGAGCGUUCGGGAGCCCUCUUCCAAUGGGGAGGAGGCUCCCCAGCGCUUUGUCAGUGAAGCUGCCGCUCGAUGAGGGGCCCGCGUCCCAUCAGCUAGUUGGUAGGGUAACGGCCUACCAAGGCGACGACGGGUAGCUGGUCUAAGAGGACGACCAGCCACACGGGAAUUGAGAUACGGUCCCGACUCCUACGGGAGGCAGCAGUGGGGAAUCUUGGGCAAUGGGGGAAACCCUGACCCAGCGACGCCGCGUGGGGGAUGAAGGCCUUCGGGUUGUAAACCCCUGUUAGGUGGGACGAACAUCUCCUCACGAAUAGUGGAGAGAUCUGACGGUACCUCCAGAGAAAGCCCCGGCUAACUCCGUGCCAGCAGCCGCGGUAAUACGGAGGGGGCUAGUGUUGUUCGGAAUCAUUGGGCGUAAAGCGCGCGUAGGCGGCCAGAUAAGUCCGGUGUGAAAGUCCCAGGCUCAACCUGGGAAUGCCGCCGGAAACUGUCUGGCUAGAGUCCGGAAGGGGCCAGUGGAAUUCCCGGUGUAGCGGUGAAAUGCGCAGAUAUCGGGAGGAACACCAAUGGCGAAGGCAGCUGGCUGGGACGGUACUGACGCUGAGGCGCGAAAGCGUGGGGAGCGAACAGGAUUAGAUACCCUGGUAGUCCACGCUGUAAACGAUGGGCACUAGGUGUGGGAGGUGUCGACUCCUCCCGUGCCGCAGCUAACGCAUUAAGUGCCCCGCCUGGGGAGUACGGCCGCAAGGCUAAAACUCAAAGGAAUUGACGGGGACCCGCACAAGCAGCGGAGCAUGUGGUUCAAUUCGACGCAACGCGAAGAACCUUACCUGGGCUUGACAUGUAGGUGACAGCCGUGGAAACACGGUCUCCCUUCGGGGCACCUUCACAGGUGGUGCAUGGCUGUCGUCAGCUCGUGCCGUGAGGUGUUGGGUUAAGUCCCGCAACGAGCGCAACCCCUGCCCCAUGUUGCCAGCGGGUAAUGCCGGGGACUCAUGGGGGACUGCCGGUGACAAACCGGAGGAAGGUGGGGAUGACGUCAAGUCAUCAUGCCCCUUAUGCCCAGGGCUACACACGUGCUACAUUGGCCGCUACAGAGGGUUGCGAUACCGCGAGGUGGAGCGAAUCCCAAAAAGGCGGUCUCGGUUCGGAUUGGAGGCUGAAACUCGCCUCCAUGAAGGUGGAGUUGCUAGUAAUCGCGGAUCAGCAACGCCGCGGUGAUACGUUCCCGGGUCUUGUACAACACC
RNAcentral lists this ribosomal RNA (1422 nucleotides) under uncultured bacterium. RNAcentral describes it as "partial 16S ribosomal RNA". It matches the Rfam family "Bacterial small subunit ribosomal RNA", at positions 52 to 1391 of the family's 1533-position model. The record is from RNAcentral.